AAUUCGCCCUUAGAGUUUGAUCAUGGCUCAGAUUGAACGCUGGCGGCAGGCCUAACACAUGCAAGUCGAACGGUAACAGGAAGCAGCUUGCUGCUUCGCUGACGAGUGGCGGACGGGUGAGUAAUGUCUGGGAAGCUGCCUGAUGGAGGGGGAUAACUACUGGAAACGGUAGCUAAUACCGCAUAAUGUCGCAAGACCAAAGAGGGGGACCUUCGGGCCUCUUGCCAUCGGAUGUGCCCAGAUGGGAUUAGCUUGUUGGUGGGGUAACGGCUCACCAAGGCGACGAUCCCUAGCUGGUCUGAGAGGAUGACCAGCCACACUGGAACUGAGACACGGUCCAGACUCCUACGGGAGGCAGCAGUGGGGAAUAUUGCACAAUGGGCGCAAGCCUGAUGCAGCCAUGCCGCGUGUAUGAAGAAGGCCUUCGGGUUGUAAAGUCCUUUCAGCGGGGAGGAAGGGAGUAAAGUUAAUACCUUGCUCA
RNAcentral lists this ribosomal RNA (481 nucleotides) under uncultured bacterium. RNAcentral describes it as "bacterial SSU rRNA". It matches the Rfam family "Bacterial small subunit ribosomal RNA", at positions 1 to 474 of the family's 1533-position model. The record is from RNAcentral.